GGUUAGUCUGGAAAGGAAGGCUGGGUGCAGCAAAUGAAGAGGGCACGCGGGUUUCUGGGUGUUGACAAGGUUCUAGCUGAGUGGCACAUCAAAAGCCGUACCUUUUGGGGUUGCACACUCUGAGGGUUGGCAAGAGAAAGGGGACAGGUCAGAAGAGAAAGGUGAAGAGGAGAGCGCCCUAAUGGAGAAGAGCUCCGUGCGGAUGGCAAAGUGUGGACCGCCGGCGCGGCGCGCGCAGCGCUUCCCGAAUACAAGAGGAGGCAAGUUAACUCCCUGGCCAUAGGAUGAGAGAGCAGUGGCUAGAGAUGGCAAGGGAGAUGUCUGCAGUGCUGUCCUUCAUCACUAUGAACAACCAGUGCUACAGAGUUCAGAUCCGAGAUACAGUCCCCAGUGUAAACAAUCAAUUCAAUCUGUCACACCACAGACAGGUCAGACCGUCGGUCCGUGCCCUGUAAGAAAGGUGGUGAAUGGCCAAGGCCUUACCCGGAACUGUGAGCACGGGUAUGAGAAGAGGUGCACUUUGCCGAAGUCAUCGCCUGUGCACAAGAGCUUUCUCUCGUGAGCCCGGCAGACGGCGUUGAUGUCUGUCCCAUCGGAGCCCUCCGGCCACACUCCUGGAACAGAGCACAGAGGCACUGGAAACUUCAGAGCCACAGCACACAAACGCUGGUCACCAAAGGGGACAGAAAUCCACCUUCAGUCUGGGCUUUAGAAUGGAGAGCCGGGCGGGCGACCACUCGUUUCCAGCUCCCGCCUCUCUCUAGCUCUGGGUUGCAGGGCACCCAGGGUCAGCCCUGAGAAGCCCUGCAUCUCUUCUAACAGCUGUGCUAAGUCACACAGCCCCGGCAGUGUCCUGAGCUGCCUGCAUCCACUGGACCCUUCUGGGUGCAGCGGCAGGCACCACGGCCCUGCUUAUAAACUGAUGUCUUUCCACUGUAAGUCCUGUAAGUGCAGGGUACCUGGAGAAUAGGGGCACUGUGUCCUGGGAGAGGCUUUUGGUUGAGAGCAUUGUAUAUUAGAGGCCUGAGUACACACCAGCUCCUUAGUAGGCAGAACAGCAGGAAAUAGGGAAACGCCACACUGAGAGGACUUAGGAAUUCCUACCAGCCGACUGACUCCCAAUUGCUCCGACUGUAGCAACGCAUUGUGAGCUAUUUAUGAAUGUAUUCCUAAGAUGAGCUUUGAAAGAAGUGAACGUUUUAGGCGGUAGGUAAGUAAGUCAAGUGUCAUGUGUUCCUGUGGGUAUAACAUCAUCCACAUAACCACUAGGGGGCGCUGUCCUGUGCCUCGGGAAGAGUUAAUUACCCCCUCAGCCUGAGCCUGGGAGCUGAGGAGAUUGUGAAUCAUGGCCCCAGGUGGGAACAGAACAGAUGGACAAGACUGAAAGUGGUGGGAACAAGGUUCGAGUCCCGGCACCUCCGUGGCAGCUCACAACUAUGGGUAACUCUAGUGCCAGUGGGGAUCUGAUGCCCUCUUUGGUUUCCACAGGCACUGCAGUUUCACAAAAGCAAAAUGUUCAUACCAAUAAACAAUUAAAAAUAAACCC
Long non-coding RNA from Mus musculus (house mouse), 1546 nucleotides. RefSeq annotates it as predicted gene, 16596. Lineage: Eukaryota; Metazoa; Chordata; Mammalia; Rodentia; Muridae. The record is from RefSeq and is marked validated. The transcript has 5 exons.